Non-coding RNA from Vicia faba (fava bean), 216 nucleotides. NCBI's taxonomy places the organism in Eukaryota, Viridiplantae, Streptophyta, Magnoliopsida, Fabales, Fabaceae. The record is from the annotation of a GenBank genome assembly.
AUGUGGUUUUCAAGCAUGGAAUUGGGUAUUAGCAAGGAAGAUAAUGGCAUGGUCGAGUACUCUUUUGGCUUAGUUCAAGACUUGGAGAGAAUGAAAUUAUGGAAGAUAGCAAAGAGUUUAAAACGUGGAGGCUUAUCAUGGAAGACUUUGAAGUAUGAAGAGAUAGGCUUUAGGAAAGAUAUAAGAACUUUUUUUGUAAUUAUUUUUGAGUUGUAA